This is an RNA transcript of Panicum virgatum (switchgrass), 3914 nucleotides long. RefSeq lists it as uncharacterized. The record is from RefSeq and is a predicted model, not a curated record. The transcript is spliced from 2 exons. NCBI's taxonomy places the organism in Eukaryota, Viridiplantae, Streptophyta, Magnoliopsida, Poales, Poaceae.
UGGCCCCUCCGUCGUCUCCGCGCUGCAGCCUCCGUCUUCUCCUGAUGGCCACCAGCUCGCCGCCGCCGCCACCGCCGAAAAGACCCCAAGCCCCGGUCUCCGGCACCACCAUACGCUCCCUCGGCGACGACCUCCUCCUUGAGAUCUUCCUCCGCCUGCCCUCCCUCCCGAGCCUCGUUCGCGCCGCGCUCACCUGCCGCUCCUUCCUCGCCGCCGUCCGCUCCGCCCCCGCCUUCCGCCGCCGCUUCGCCGCGCUCCGCCCGCCCCCUCUCCUGGGCCUCUUCUUCGACUACGAUGGCGUCGAUAUGCCCUCGUUCAGGCCCGUCCGCCGCAGCUCGGACCCGGACCUCGCCGCCGCCGCCCGCGGCGCCGACGUCUUCCUCACCCGCGUCCCCGGCCACGACGACGCCUCCCCCGGGUGGCAGAUAGCGGAGUGCCGCGGCGGCUCCCUCCUACUCCUUAACCAGAGUACCGAGCAGAUGGCUGUCUACAACCCCCUCUCGCGGGCCCUGGAUCUCUUCCCUACGCCGCCAGACGAGUUGUCCGACGGUUGCCGCGGCAAGUGCAUCUACAUGGAUCCCUUCUUGCUCUCCCCCGACGGGAUCCCCGGACCAUUCCGCGUGGUCGCCGUCUGCCACGACAAGUCGCGGCUGCGCGCCGCUGUCUUCUCGUCAGGCACCAGGGCGUGGCAGAUUCUCCCCUGGUCCCAGCCCGCGCCGGCACAGCCGUCAGGCAAGAAGUACUGGCUCCUCCAUGGCAGGCAGGUGAAUGGGAAACUGUACUGGUCACACGCGAAGCGGGCCUACAUGGUGGUGCUGGACACGACGACGCUGCAAUUCUCCUUCAUUGAUCUGCCAGAGCACUUGAAGGGGAAGGGGCACCUCUACAUGGCCGGGGAAACCAAGGAUGGGAGACCCUGUAUCGUCUCCACAGCCGAUUUCACAUUGUCCAUUUGGUUCCGGAGAGCAGAUGCUGAUGGUGUUGAGAUGUGGAUGCUUGACAGUGUGAUCCUGUUGGAGGAAGAGGUUCUUCGGGCUACCAAUGGCUCACUGGAUGAUCAUGGUGACCUUAAAGUAUUAGCAAUUCUGGAUGGCAUUGUCUACCUGUCAACCUUUGAGACAUUUAUAGAUGCUACUAUACCUUGCUGGUACCUAUUCUUCUGCCUGGAAACAAGGAAGCUGGAAAAGAUCUUCCAUAAAAAAGAUGACGGCCAUGAGCAUCCUUACAUCAUGGCGUGGCCAAAUUUUCUUGUUAGUAACAAUGGGAGCCCUUCAUUUGAAGGUGCUUGUUGAAGUGUGCAACCAGGUAUCACAACAGAGGAAGAUGAAAACUAGAACUGGUAAAUCUUCUAUUUAUUGUAGUCUUAAUGUCUUAUCAGAACUAUUAAAUCGUUUUCUGCUUUAUUAUGUUAUGGAUGUGGAAGUAAUCUUCUUAAUGAAUCUAGAGUAUUUUCAUCUUACCAAGAUGCUGUUUAGAUUGUCAGUUCAUUCGCUUAUCUUUGAGCAUAUGUCGAUAGGCAAUAGCACACUUUACUCUCUGCAAACUGGUACUGUUUGCUUCAACAUAAAUAUCAGGAUAGCACCAAGAGCCAUAGCUGAUUCAUGCUUGUUAGACAAAAUAAAUGUGUGAAGUAUCGUUUGUCACUUUUAAGAAGAUUUCUCAUCCAGCCACAAGCAACUUCAUGGUUCUCAAGGUGCUAUGGCAACUCGUGGCGACCUACCCCUCACAACGCCUAGACGUUGACACCAUAGACAUAUCCUAAACAUACCAUAACAAACAAAAUUUAGUACCAUAUACAAACCUUUGUUGAGCUGUUGGACCAAACAUUCUUCCCUUUCCAAUUACUCCUGCCAUCCUUUCUCUUCUCCCAAGCAGCAAGCAAUGGAGGCAUGGAGCAGAGCAAGCACAAGCAGCAGAGGGAACUACGGAAGGGAAGCACGAGCAGCAGAGCAGAGGACAGCAGAGCAGAGGACGGAAGGGAAGGGAAGACCAGAGAUUGGAGAUUAAGUACCUGGCCAUUGCAGUCUAGCUGAGGACAGGAGGCCACGGACCAGCAGAAGAGGCGCCAGGCGCGGGGCUGCACGCGGUUGUGGACCAGCAGAGGCGGUGGCUUGUGGAGGCGCAAAGGAGGUGGGGCUGCACGGGUCAUCCUUGCGGACGAGUGGAGAUGCGCGGGGCAGCACAGAUCCUCGCGGAGAUCAUUUCCAAUUUGCGGAAGUAUUUUUAGUUCUCUUUUAGAGUUAACCCCAUACAGAAAUUAACAGGCUCAUUAAAAACUUAAAAUAAUUGAAUUCAGAUAUCUCAAACUAGUGGUGGUACAAGCUUUGAGCAAGAGUCUGCGGUGCAAGUGCAAGAGCAAUGAGCAAUAUAGUACUCAUUAAAGAACGGAAACACUGACUUGCACAACAACACUUUCGCAAAUCGGACGUCAUCUGCCAAACAGGCCAUCAUGCGUCCAUGCAGAACAGCAUGGCACAGAUCCUUGAACCUGGCUAUCUCAGGAGGAAACGGGUCCUUAGAAAUGGUCACCUUGCACAUGUCCACAUGACCUGGUACCAAGUUGCCAGCUAUGUCCGAUAUGUAGCUGAUGACGCCACCAAUCUGAUACAUCCCCCCAAUGUUGCUCCUCAGGACUUGGCACCAGAACUUCGGAUCCGGGUGAUCCCUAAGCACUCCUCCAAUCAUCUUUUGCACCAAAGAAUGACCCGUUCAGCUUCCUCGCUAUUUCUUUCCCUGCAGCCAUCAGCCUUGUGUUAUCCUCGAUGUCUCUACCAGCGAAUGCAUGUGCCUUGAAGAAAAACCAGUACUCAGGGCAGGGCAAUGCCGUUAGUAUGAUUGGCUCCACUGUUCCAAUGUCUGCAACAUGCUGACUGUUUGUUGUGAUAAUUACCUUGCUCCCUUCCUUGCUGCAUCUCAGGCUUUGCAGGAACUCUUCCAGUAUCUGCUUCCUGUGCAUUUCAAUGUCCUCAAAUACCAUCAAGCACCUUUUAUCAGAAAAGUCGUUCUCCUUGACGUACUUCAAUGGGUCAUUUAGACCCCCUUCGUUCUUUUUAACAUCAUAAGUACAUGAAAAGCUGUACAUCAAGAUCACCGGGAAGUGGUUGUGCACUCUGGCAUCAUCGCAGGCGUGUUGCACCAGGGUUGUCUUCCCAAUUCCAUUGCCACCAACAAUUGGUAGCACACCCAAUUCCCCUGUUGACUGAUCAUCCUCAUGCAACAGAAAGUUGAUUAUCAUCUCUUUCUCAACAUGUCGACCGAACAUCUGCCCAUCAUGGAAGAUGUUAGUGCCUAGAGGCCGGCGGAUUGGCUGGUAGUUUUGCAGGAGCAUGAUGAACUCCAUGAGAUCACAAGACAUGGCUUCCAAUCUCUUGAGCACCCUGUUAAUCUCAUCAACACUGAAAUCAAGGUGCCAGUAGUAUGAGCUCCUCAUGGUGCACCCAGCAACCCUGACACGCUUUGCAGGGUUAAACAAGGACAAGGUGGAAACUUGGGGAUCUACCUUAUGAUCACAUCGCUCAGCCUCCUGGUUGCCACACCUGAUGGAAUCAAGCAAGUAAAGUCCCAGCUUGUCUUCAGUGCUUUCUUGGUUGCUAAAGCGCCCAACGAGAAGAGAAAUCGCUCUACUGACAACAUCGCCUAUGAUGGCAGAGAUGAUGGCAUCUACCAUUGUAGCAGGUUUCUAUGGCUGGAGAAGAGUUCUAGGAGUCUUUCAGCAGGAAAUACUUGUACUUAUGACGUUUGGGCUUGGUGGUCAGUUUCUUCCCAAUUUUUGCUGAAGUCAACGUUGCGACUGAGUCUUUAUUUGCACGAAAGUGACUUGGGAGACCAGAGGUCUCCUGAAAAUGGUCAUUGGUCAUGAUAUGUAAAAGGCAAAGAUACCACUCAGAUCAGAAUAACAAAAAAAGGUGUGCUUA